Long non-coding RNA from Gallus gallus (chicken), 398 nucleotides. NCBI's taxonomy places the organism in Eukaryota, Metazoa, Chordata, Aves, Galliformes, Phasianidae. The record is from Ensembl.
GGAAACAAUAAGAACAUCUUUUCAAAAUGGGAAUCAUAGAAAUGUAUUGAGGCUAUGGUGGCACCAGUUCUCUAACUGCCUUCAGCUCCACUGAUCUGUUUCCCCAUAGUAUCCCGGCUUCCAGGAGCUCUGCACUCCCCCAUCACACACCCCAGGGAUGAUGAAGACCCAUCUGCCUCAGCUCAUCUCCCAGACCCUUCAUACACAUUUCACUGUGACCAGUGCUGUCACAAGUGCACCACCAUUGCAAGUUCCAGUGUCAGCAAGGAGCAGGAUCAGAAACAGUACACCGGUGUCUGUCACAGACAGCAGCAGUGAGAAAAGUUAGCUGGCUUCCACCUGUGAGGACAUUGGAGCCUGGUGUGAAACAGACCUGCAUGAGGCGGAUCCAAGCAGAG